Molecule: ribosomal RNA, 425 nt
Filed under: uncultured bacterium
Lineage: Bacteria
Description: partial 16S ribosomal RNA
Rfam family: Bacterial small subunit ribosomal RNA
Source: RNAcentral
GUGGGGAAUCUUGCGCAAUGGGCGAAAGCCUGACGCAGCCAUGCCGCGUGAAUGAUGAAGGUCUUAGGAUUGUAAAAUUCUUUCACCGGGGACGAUAAUGACGGUACCCGGAGAAGAAGCUCCGGCUAACUUCGUGCCAGCAGCCGCGGUAAUACGAAGGGGGCUAGCGUUGCUCGGAAUUACUGGGCGUAAAGGGCGCGUAGGCGGACAGCUUAGUCAGAGGUGAAAGCCCAGGUCUCAACCUUGGAAUUGCCUUUGAUACUGGCUGUCUUGAGUUUGGGAGAGGUGAGUGGAACUCCGAGUGUAGAGGUGAAAUUCGUAGAUAUUCGGAAGAACACCAGUGGCGAAGGCGACUCACUGGCCCAAUACUGACGCUGAGGCGCGAAAGCGUGGGGAGCAAACAGGAUUAGAUACCCGAGUAGUCC